UCUGAAGUGGGAGCCUUGGUGCUGUUCAUGU
RNAcentral lists this non-coding RNA (31 nucleotides) under Mus musculus (house mouse). The record is from RNAcentral. Lineage: Eukaryota; Metazoa; Chordata; Mammalia; Rodentia; Muridae.